CUGGGAUGGGUUAUGGAGAAGGCAAUACAGAGCAGGGAGUUUUGGGGGGGCUUCUCCUUGCCUUGGGUCAGUGCCCAAGGGGCCCUUCAUCCCCCUCCAACGUUGUCCCCCUGGCUGGAAGGCAGCAAGCUGCUACAACUGGCCUCAAUGCAGGCUUUCCAGCACGCAGGAAACAGGAAGGAGCGUUAUUUCUCAACAUAGAACAAACAGAAGACAGAAUUAACUCUAUCUUAAAGCUGCAUUACCACCCUGCUAUUCGCUUCCUGACUUCAGCUCAAGUGCCUACAGGCCCUGUCCUGCUAAGCUCUGUACAAGGCCUGACAUUUGACACCCAAGACCCCAGGACUUACACAGAGGCACAAGCGGAGGCCCUGGGGAAGAGGGUCCCCAUUUAGAAAACAGAAGAUGGACAUCCCCCAGAUUAUAGCUCAGAUCACCCAUGAACGGCCCCCUGCCAGGACCUUUGCCUCUGUCCUUCUUCCAGAGAUGAUGCUAGCUGAGGAGCCUCCUCUGCUGGGCACUGUGGGGGUUCAUUUGUGGGUGUCAGACAAAUCAGAUGGACUCAGAGCUUCUCUGCAUUUCUCACAUCCUUGCCACUCUGUUCCCUGUAGCAGAUUUCUCUUAUUUUUAGACAGCUCAUAUUGAGAUUAAAGUGGUUUAGAAAGCAUUAUAUAUAGAUGUGUAUACAUACCUCAAAUAUUUGCCUAGAUGUAUCUUAUCUAAACUUCUACAUGCAUCUGAAUUUCCCAGGCUUGAACUAUGUUUUGUGUAAAUUGGUGUUGUCUCACUGUCUUUGAGCAAGCUUAUUUACGUCAGCUCUGGAAUUAGACCCCAGUAUUCCAGCCAGCACUUAGCUGCAAGAGUCAAAAUAACAUGGAGACAUACUGUUUUCC
Molecule: long non-coding RNA, 893 nt
Filed under: Phasianus colchicus (ring-necked pheasant)
Lineage: Eukaryota; Metazoa; Chordata; Aves; Galliformes; Phasianidae
Description: lncRNA (ENSPCLG00000004943.1)
Source: RNAcentral